UGGGCUGACUGGGGAAGAGCUAGAUGCCAGCCCUCUCCUAUGAGUCAGCGCUAUGCACAAACUGUGAAGAAGGAAAACAGGAAGUCCUGUGAGUGGGCGCCAUGCGCAGACUGGCUGAGGGAGGGCCAGACAACAGCUCUUUCUGGCGUGUAGGCAGGGAGACAAGAAGAGGCAUCAUUCCCCCUCCCUCCUUGAGACCAGCUGAUCCAGAGAAGCACAGGCUGUGAUGAUAGCUAAUCAGAGGAACUCCAGUCUUCACCUUCACCUUGGACCUCAUCUCCUGGCACAAAUUCUUCAGCUUCAAACCGAGACCCAUCAGCCUCCUAAUAUGGACUCACAUGGGACACUGCAGUGAGCUCUUUCAGCUGGAUCCUUUGAUCUCCAGGAUGCAGAGAUGCUCAUCUGACUCUGCUGGAGCCAUUAUAAGCCAGUCUUGUGUAUAAUACCCAGUCAUUAUGUAUAAUACCACACCUAACAAACUUUUAAAGUACAAAUAAAUAAAAAAUUAUUAACUAUC
Long non-coding RNA from Cavia porcellus (domestic guinea pig), 517 nucleotides. RefSeq lists it as uncharacterized. The transcript has 2 exons. NCBI's taxonomy places the organism in Eukaryota, Metazoa, Chordata, Mammalia, Rodentia, Caviidae. The record is from RefSeq and is a predicted model, not a curated record.